This 459-nucleotide ribosomal RNA is filed under the name uncultured bacterium. Its description in RNAcentral is "partial 16S ribosomal RNA". It matches the Rfam family "Bacterial small subunit ribosomal RNA", at positions 338 to 795 of the family's 1533-position model. The record is from RNAcentral.
CCUACGGGUGGCAGCAGUGAGGAAUAUUGGUCAAUGGACGCGAGCCUGAACCAGCCAAGUAGCGUGAAGGAUGACUGCCCUACGGGUUGUAAACUUCUUUUGUAAAGGAAUAAAGUGAGGCACGUGUGCCUUUUUGUAUGUACUUUAUGAAUAAGGAUCGGCUAACUCCGUGCCAGCAGCCGCGGUAAUACGGAGGAUGCAAGCGUUAUCCGGAUUUAUUGGGUUUAAAGGGUGCGUAGGCGGAUUGAUAAGUCAGCGGUCAAAUCGUGGGGCUCAACCCCAUCCAGCCGUUGAUACUGGGGAGCUAGAGUGUACGAGAGGUAUGCGGAAUGCGUGGUGUAGCGGUGAAAUGCAUAGAGAUCACGCAGAACCCCGAUUGCGAAGGCAGCAUACCGGUGUACAACUGACGUUCAGGCACGAAAGCGUGGGGAUCGAACAGGAUUAGAUACCCUUGUAGUC